Molecule: ribosomal RNA, 593 nt
Filed under: Debaryomyces hansenii
Lineage: Eukaryota; Fungi; Ascomycota; Pichiomycetes; Serinales; Debaryomycetaceae
Description: partial small subunit ribosomal RNA
Rfam family: Eukaryotic large subunit ribosomal RNA
Source: RNAcentral
UAGCGGAGGAAAAGAAACCAACAGGGAUUGCCUUAGUAACGGCGAGUGAAGCGGCAAAAGCUCAAAUUUGAAAUCUGGCACCUUCGGUGUCCGAGUUGUAAUUUGAAGAAGGUAACUUUGGAGUUGGCUCUUGUCUAUGUUCCUUGGAACAGGACGUCACAGAGGGUGAGAAUCCCGUGCGAUGAGAUGCCCAAUUCUAUGUAAAGUGCUUUCGAAGAGUCGAGUUGUUUGGGAAUGCAGCUCUAAGUGGGUGGUAAAUUCCAUCUAAAGCUAAAUAUUGGCGAGAGACCGAUAGCGAACAAGUACAGUGAUGGAAAGAUGAAAAGAACUUUGAAAAGAGAGUGAAAAAGUACGUGAAAUUGUUGAAAGGGAAGGGCUUGAGAUCAGACUUGGUAUUUUGCGAUCCUUUCCUUCUUGGUUGGGUUCCUCGCAGCUUACUGGGCCAGCAUCGGUUUGGAUGGUAGGAUAAUGACUAAGGAAUGUGGCUCUACUUCGGUGGAGUGUUAUAGCCUUGGUUGAUACUGCCUGUCUAGACCGAGGACUGCGUCUUUUGACUAGGAUGUUGGCAUAAUGAUCUUAAGCCACCCGUCUUG